GACGAACGCUGGCGGCGUGCUUAACACAUGCAAGUCGAACGGAAAGGCCCUGCUUUUGUGGGGUGCUCGAGUGGCGAACGGGUGAGUAACACGUGAGUAACCUGCCCUUGACUUUGGGAUAACUUCAGGAAACUGGGGCUAAUACCGGAUAGGAGCUCCUGCUGCAUGGUGGGGGUUGGAAAGUUUCGGCGGUUGGGGAUGGACUCGCGGCUUAUCAGCUUGUUGGUGGGGUAGUGGCUUACCAAGGCUUUGACGGGUAGCCGGCCUGAGAGGGUGACCGGCCACAUUGGGACUGAGAUACGGCCCAGACUCCUACGGGAGGCAGCAGUGGGGAAUAUUGCACAAUGGGCGGAAGCCUGAUGCAGCAACGCCGCGUGCGGGAUGACGGCCUUCGGGUUGUAAACCGCUUUCGCCUGUGACGAAGCGUGAGUGACGGUAAUGGAAAAGAAGCACCGGCUAACUACGUG
RNAcentral lists this ribosomal RNA (467 nucleotides) under uncultured bacterium. RNAcentral describes it as "partial 16S ribosomal RNA". It matches the Rfam family "Bacterial small subunit ribosomal RNA", at positions 28 to 507 of the family's 1533-position model. The record is from RNAcentral.